This 511-nucleotide ribosomal RNA is filed under the name uncultured bacterium. Its description in RNAcentral is "partial 16S ribosomal RNA". The record is from RNAcentral.
GGAGUUAGCCGGUGCUUCUUCUGCGAGUAACGUCACAGAUGUAAGGUAUUAACUUACACCCUUUCCUCCUCGCUGAAAGUGCUUUACAACCCGAAGGCCUUCUUCACACACGCGGCAUGGCUGCAUCAGGGUUUCCCCCAUUGUGCAAUAUUCCCCACUGCUGCCUCCCGUAGGAGUCUGGGCCGUGUCUCAGUCCCAGUGUGGCUGAUCAUCCUCUCAGACCAGCUAGGGAUCGUCGCCUAGGUGAGCCUUUACCUCACCUACUAGCUAAUCCCACCUGGGCUUAUCCAUCAGCGCAAGGCCCGAAGGUCCCCUGCUUUCCCCCGUAGGGCGUAUGCGGUAUUAGCAGUCGUUUCCAACUGUUAUCCCCCACAAAUGGGCAAAUUCACAGGCAUUACUCACCCGUCCGCCGCUCGUCAUCUUCAAAAGCAAGCUUUUGAAAUGUUACCGCUCGACUUGCAUGUGUUAGGCCUGCCGCCAGCGUUCAAUCUGAGCCAGAAUCAAACUCUGA